RNAcentral lists this transfer RNA (77 nucleotides) under Bacilli bacterium. Its description in RNAcentral is "tRNA-Met". It matches the Rfam family "tRNA". Rfam says of the family: Transfer RNA (tRNA) molecules are approximately 80 nucleotides in length. Their secondary structure includes four short double-helical elements and three loops (D, anti-codon, and T loops). Lineage: Bacteria; Bacillati; Bacillota; Bacilli. The record is from RNAcentral.
GGCGAGAUAAUUCAGUUGGCUAGAAUGUUCGGUUCAUACCCGAAAUGUCGGGGGUUCAAAUCCCUCUCUCGCUACCA